This 497-nucleotide ribosomal RNA is filed under the name uncultured bacterium. Its description in RNAcentral is "partial 16S ribosomal RNA". It matches the Rfam family "Bacterial small subunit ribosomal RNA", at positions 28 to 507 of the family's 1533-position model. The record is from RNAcentral.
GACGAACGCUGGCGGCGUGCCUAAUACAUGCAAGUUGAGCGAUGAAGAUUGGUGCUUGCCCCAAUUUGAAGAGCAGCGAACGGGUGAGUAACGCGUGGGGAAUCUGCCUUUGAGCGGGGGACAACAUUUGGAAACGAAUGCUAAUACCGCAUAACAACUUUAAACAUAAGUUUUAAGUUUGAAAGAUGCAAUUGCCUCACUCAAAGAUGAUCCCGCGUUGUAUUAGCUAGUUGGUGAGGUAAAGGCUCACCAAGGCGAUGAUACAUAGCCGACCUGAGAGGGUGAUCGGCCACAUUGGGACUGAGACACGGCCCAAACUCCUACGGGAGGCAGCAGUAGGGAAUCUUCGGCAAUGGACGAAAGUCUGACCGAGCAACGCCGCGUGAGUGAAGAAGGUUUUCGGAUCGUAAAACUCUGUUGGUAGAGAAGAACGUUGGUGAGAGUGGAAAGCUCAUCAAGUGACGGUAACUACCCAGAAAGGGACGGCUAACUACGUG